RNAcentral lists this ribosomal RNA (244 nucleotides) under uncultured Staphylococcus sp. RNAcentral describes it as "partial 16S ribosomal RNA". It matches the Rfam family "Bacterial small subunit ribosomal RNA", at positions 96 to 334 of the family's 1533-position model. The record is from RNAcentral. Lineage: Bacteria; Bacillati; Bacillota; Bacilli; Caryophanales; Staphylococcaceae.
CGGCGGACGGGUGAGUAACACGUGGAUAACCUACCUAUAAGACUGGGAUAACUCCGGGAAACCGGGGCUAAUACCGGAUAACACAUGAAACCGCAUGGUUUCAUGAUGAAAGACGGUUUUGCUGUCACUUAUAGAUGGACCCGCGGCGCAUUAGCUAGUUGGUAAGGUAACGGCUUACCAGGGCAACGAUGCGUAGCCGACCUGAGAGGGUGAUCGGCCACACUGGAACUGAGACACGGUCCAG